CCUACGGGAGGCAGCAGUAGGGAAUAUUGCGCAAUGGGGGAAACCCUGACGCAGCAACGCCGCGUGGAGGAUGAAGGUCUUCGGAUUGUAAACUUCUGUUGUUAGAGAAGAUCACUACGGUAUCUAACGAAUAAUCACCGGCUAACUCCGUGCCAGCAGCCGCGGUAAUACUGAGGGUGCAAGCGUUACUCGGAAUCACUGGGCGUAACGCGCGCGUAGGCGGGAUAGCAAGUCAGAGGUGAAAUCCUAGGGCUUAACCAUGGAACUGCAUUUGAAACUGUUAUUCUAGAGUAUGGGAGAGGUAAGUGGAAUUCUUGGUGUAGGGGUGGAAUCCGUAGAGAUCAAGAGGAAUACU
This 355-nucleotide ribosomal RNA is filed under the name uncultured bacterium. RNAcentral describes it as "partial 16S ribosomal RNA". It matches the Rfam family "Bacterial small subunit ribosomal RNA", at positions 338 to 710 of the family's 1533-position model. The record is from RNAcentral.